RNAcentral lists this long non-coding RNA (1129 nucleotides) under Sus scrofa (pig). RNAcentral's name for it is "lncRNA (ENSSSCG00015063003.1)". Lineage: Eukaryota; Metazoa; Chordata; Mammalia; Artiodactyla; Suidae. The record is from RNAcentral.
AUUCGCCGGCACUGCGCUGAACUCCGCGGCGGCCGCGCGUCGCUCCCGCUGUUCCUCCCGCUGCCGCGGCCUCUGUGGGCCUCCUUCACCCCAGUGGGAAGAGAGUUGUUAUUGCCCGCCGUUACCAUAGCAACUGCAGCCACGCGCUGGGAGCCGAGUCUGCGAACUAGGCCUGGCGCGCUCCUGGAUCCCCUUGGGCUUUGCCUGCUGCCUCCAGCGGAGACUGGAGAAAAUCAUGGAUUUCAUCUUCAUCAUCUGUCAUUGAAUGCAUUGUAUCCCCACAUUCAUGUUUUGAAGCCCUCACCUCCAGCACCUCAGAAUAGGACUAUAUUUGGAGAUAAAGCCUUGAAAGAGGUAAUUAAGUUGAAAACGAGGCCAUUAAGGUGGGCCCUACUUCAACCCAACAGAUGUCCUUAUAAGAAGAGGAGCUUAAGACCUACAGAGAAACACCAAGGAUGUGCAUGUGCAGAAGAAAAAGGCCACAUGAGGACACAGCAAGGAGGCAGCCAUCUAACCAGCCAAGGACAGAGGCCUCAGGGGAAACCAACAGCUUGAUCAUAGGCUCCUAACCUCCAAAACAGAAAGUAAAUUUACAUUGUUUACAUCAUAUAGUGUGUGGAAUUUUGUUAUGUCAGCAGGAGCAAACUAAUACACCCUCUCCCUCUCCCCAGUCACCAAGGUCUACCCACUCUGCUUCCCAAAUACCACUUCAGCCUAUCCUCUCCAUUUCCAGGUCACCUGCCCUCAUCCAAUCCCCGACCAAGUCUUUUAUGGAUGCCUGCGGCAGCCUCCCAACGUUCCUCCUGCUCCCCCUCACCCUCCUCGAACCCAGUCUCCAAAGGGAGGCCAGAGUGGUCAUUUACAAAUUCCUAUUUGCCUCCAGGUCUAACAAGGAGAGAGGGACAAAGCGUUUCCUUUGAGUGAAGAUUGAAGUGCUAAUUAGUAUACUGGGUCUGACACCGCAAAUUACUGAAGUUAGCAUAUAGAGUGGAUGUUUUAUUUUCUUUUUAUUGAGGUAUAGUUGAUUUACAAUAUAUUAAUUUCUGGAGUUCCCGUCGUUACUCAGUGGUUAAUGAAUCCGACUAGGAACCAUGAGGUUUCAGGUUCAAUCCCUGGCCUUGCUCAGUGG